ACAGCAUGCAAAUGGUUUUCUGUUGAUUCGUUGAGUGGUGGUUCAUUACUGUUCUUAUUUGGUCAAGCGACAUGUUUAGUUGAUUCCGAUAAGGAGCCAGACAAUAACCUACUAAAUAGAAAAUUGACUCUUUGUGGUCACUCAGAACGCGACACUUGUUGCUUCUUUAUCAAAUGAUGCAGUUGCUAUCGGGUUGGAAUGUUGCCAGUUUUUACUUUUUAGGGGGUUAUAGAAAUUUUGGCAAUAACUGGUCUGUGACGCCCUUAGAU
This 269-nucleotide non-coding RNA is filed under the name Trichobilharzia regenti. RNAcentral's name for it is "Eukaryotic small subunit ribosomal RNA". It matches the Rfam family "Eukaryotic small subunit ribosomal RNA", at positions 1242 to 1478 of the family's 1831-position model. Lineage: Eukaryota; Metazoa; Platyhelminthes; Trematoda; Strigeidida; Schistosomatidae. The record is from Rfam by way of RNAcentral.